RNAcentral lists this long non-coding RNA (760 nucleotides) under Brachypodium distachyon (stiff brome). Its description in RNAcentral is "long non-coding RNA (BDIS_LNC001051)". The record is from RNAcentral. Lineage: Eukaryota; Viridiplantae; Streptophyta; Magnoliopsida; Poales; Poaceae.
GUACGUUACCCUGCAGUUUGGUCACUGGUAGGUGGGCCUCAUGCCUGACAACCCCACAUGUCAGUGACUUUAUGUCAGGGGAGGCUACGUCAGAGGAUCUCCUUCCGAUUCUAGGCCUAUCUGACAAGCUACUGCGCAUUUUUUUCUUCUUGUUUUUCUUUUUCCUUCCUUUAUCCAAAGAAGGACCCACAGUGACUUGUAAUCAAACUCACUUUUUCAGUGUUUGUUGCAUUAUUAUUUCGGUGUUUUUGCAUUAUUAUUUUCAGUGUUUCUUGCAUUAUUAUUUUCAGUGUUUUUGCAUUAUUAUUUUUAGUGUUUUUGCACUAUCAACGAUUCUUGUGGGUCAUUUCAGUACGAGAUUUAAUGUAACUAAAGAAAAUUCGAAUGGAUCUUGAAAAUACAUACAUACAUACAUACAUACAUACAUACAUACAUACAUACAUACAUACAUACAUACAUACAUACAUACAUACAUACAUAUAUCUCCAGCAUUACAUAUAGAAAUAUAUAAAAAAGGAAAAAUACAUAUGGAAUUUUAUUCCACGCUCCUGGUGAUCUUCUCCAAAGCCUUGGUACAUGUCUUCAGUGUACCGAUCAACGAUCGGAGCACUUCCAAGGAGACUUGUACCGUCGGCGGCAGUGGCGGAGGCGGCGAGGGUGGUUGUGGCGUUGGCGACAGUGGUGGCAGCGACGCACGGCGCGAUGGCGGGGCCGUAGGAGCUGGUGGAGGCGCUGGCGGUGGAGGAGGCGCUGGCGGUGG